Molecule: ribosomal RNA, 744 nt
Filed under: uncultured bacterium
Lineage: Bacteria
Description: bacterial SSU rRNA
Rfam family: Bacterial small subunit ribosomal RNA
Source: RNAcentral
AGAGUUUGAUCCUGGCUCAGAACGAACGCUGGCGGCAUGCCUAACACAUGCAAGUCGAACGCCUGUAGCAAUACAGGAGUGGCGCACGGGUGAGUAACGCGUGGGAACCUGCCCCGGAGUGGGGGAUAACCCGGCGAAAGCCGGGCUAAUACCGCAUACGACCUAAGGGUGAAAGAUUUAUCGCUCUGGGAGGGGCCCGCGUCGGAUUAGCUAGUUGGUGGGGUAAUGGCCUACCAAGGCUACGAUCCGUAGCUGGUCUGAGAGGAUGAUCAGCCACACUGGGACUGAGACACGGCCCAGACUCCUACGGGAGGCAGCAGUGGGGAAUAUUGGACAAUGGGGGAAACCCUGAUCCAGCAAUGCCGCGUGAGUGAUGAAGGCCUUAGGGUUGUAAAGCUCUUUCGGCGGGGACGAUGAUGACGGUACCCGCAGAAGAAGCCCCGGCUAACUUCGUGCCAGCAGCCGCGGUAAUACGAAGGGGGCGAGCGUUGUUCGGAAUUACUGGGCGUAAAGGGCGCGCAGGCGGCUCUGAAAGUCAGAUGUGAAAGCCCCGGGCUUAACCUGGGAAUUGCAUUUGAUACUCUAGAGCUUGAGUACGGGAGAGGAGAGUGGAAUUCCCAGUGUAGAGGUGAAAUUCGUAGAUAUUGGGAAGAACACCGGUGGCGAAGGCGGCUCUCUGGACCGUAACUGACGCUGAGGCGCGAAAGCGUGGGGAGCAAACAGGAUUAGAUACCCCCGUAGUCC